AUAUAUACAACGGAGAGUUUGAUCCUGGCUCAGGAUGAACGCUAGCGAUAGGCUUAACACAUGCAAGUCG
Molecule: ribosomal RNA, 70 nt
Filed under: Bacteroidales bacterium
Lineage: Bacteria; Pseudomonadati; Bacteroidota; Bacteroidia; Bacteroidales
Description: partial 16S ribosomal RNA
Rfam family: Bacterial small subunit ribosomal RNA
Source: RNAcentral